Molecule: transfer RNA, 44 nt
Filed under: Arabis alpina (gray rockcress)
Lineage: Eukaryota; Viridiplantae; Streptophyta; Magnoliopsida; Brassicales; Brassicaceae
Description: partial tRNA-Leu
Source: RNAcentral
CGUUGACUUUUAAAAUCGUGAGGGUUCAAGUCCCUCUAUCCCCA